Molecule: ribosomal RNA, 480 nt
Filed under: uncultured bacterium
Lineage: Bacteria
Description: partial 16S ribosomal RNA
Rfam family: Bacterial small subunit ribosomal RNA
Source: RNAcentral
GAUGAACGCUGGCGGCGUGCUUAACACAUGCAAGUCGAACGAAGCACUUUAUUUGAUUUCCUUCGGGACUGAUUAUUUUGUGACUGAGUGGCGGACGGGUGAGUAACGCGUGGGUAACCUGCCUUGUACAGGGGGAUAACAGUUGGAAACGGCUGCUAAUACCGCAUAAGCGCACAGCAUCGCAUGAUGCAGUGUGAAAAACUCCGGUGGUAUAAGAUGGACCCGCGUUGGAUUAGCUAGUUGGUGAGGUAACGGCCCACCAAGGCGACGAUCCAUAGCCGACCGGGGAGGGUGCCCGGCCACAUUGGGACGGAGCCCAGGCCCAAACCCCACGGGAGGGCGGCGGUGGGAAAAAUGGCACAUUGGGCGAAAGCCGGAGGCGGCGAGGCGGGGUGGGCGAAGAGGUAUUUGGGUAUGUAAGGCGCAAUAAGCGGGGAGGUUAUGACGGUAACCGACUAAGAAGCACCGGCUAAAUACGUG